This 363-nucleotide ribosomal RNA is filed under the name Euphlyctis cyanophlyctis (skittering frog). RNAcentral describes it as "partial large subunit ribosomal RNA". It matches the Rfam family "Bacterial large subunit ribosomal RNA", at positions 2018 to 2548 of the family's 2925-position model. The record is from RNAcentral. Lineage: Eukaryota; Metazoa; Chordata; Amphibia; Anura; Dicroglossidae.
GUCUCCUCUCUUCAAUCAGUGAAACUGACCUCCCUGUGAAGAGGCAGGGAUACUACUAUNNNNNNAGAAGACCCCAUGGAGCUUUAAACCCAACAACAGCCCAAACACCCACCCCCUCAAAGUUUUAAAGUUUUGUUAGUUGGUUUUAGGUUGGGGUGACCGCGGAGUAUAAACUACCCUCCACGACGAANGGGCCUACCCCCUUACCCAAGAAUUACACCUCUAAGGAUUAACACAUUAACGUAAAAUGAUCCAAAUAAUUGAUCAACGAACCAAGUUACCCUGGGGAUAACAGCGCAAUCCAUUUUUAGAGCCCCUAUCGACAAAUGGGUUUACGACCUCGAUGUUGGAUCAGGGUAUCCC